Molecule: ribosomal RNA, 237 nt
Filed under: uncultured bacterium
Lineage: Bacteria
Description: partial 16S ribosomal RNA
Rfam family: Bacterial small subunit ribosomal RNA
Source: RNAcentral
UACGGGGAGCAAGCGUUGUUCGGAUUACUGGCGUAAAGGCGCGUAGGCGGCCACCGCAAGUCGACUGUGAAAUCUCUGGCUUAACCCAGAAAGGUCAGCCGAUACUGCGGGCUAGAGUGCAGAAGGGCAACUGGAAUUCUCGGUGUAGCGGUGAAUGCGUAGAUAUCGGAGGAACACCUGUGGCGAAGCGCUCGCUGGACCACAACUGACGCUGAUGCGCGAACUAGGAGCAACAGG